Molecule: transfer RNA, 86 nt
Filed under: Clostridiales bacterium
Lineage: Bacteria; Bacillati; Bacillota; Clostridia; Eubacteriales
Description: tRNA-Ser
Rfam family: tRNA
About the family: Transfer RNA (tRNA) molecules are approximately 80 nucleotides in length.
Source: RNAcentral
GGAGACGUAUCGAAGAGGUCAUAACGAGCCGCACUCGAAAUGCGGUAGCCCUUCGGGGUACGCGGGUUCGAAUCCCGCCGUCUCCG